CGUUGGUGAACCAGCGGAGGGAUCAUUACUGAGUUUACGCUCUAUAACCCUUUGUGAACAUACCUAUAACUGUUGCUUCGGCGGGUAGGGUCUCCGCGACCCUCCCGGCCUCCCGCCUCCGGGCGGGUCGGCGCCCGCCGGAGGAUAACCAAACUCUGAUUUAACGACGUUUCUUCUGAGUGGUACAAGCAAAUAAUCAAAACUUUUAACAACGGAUCUCUUGGUUCUGGCAUCGAUGAAGAACGCAGCGAAAUGCGAUAAGUAAUGUGAAUUGCAGAAUUCAGUGAAUCAUCGAAUCUUUGAACGCACAUUGCGCCCGCCAGCAUUCUGGCGGGCAUGCCUGUUCGAGCGUCAUUUCAACCCUCAAGCUCUGCUUGGUGUUGGGGCCCUACAGCUGAUGUAGGCCCUCAAAGGUAGUGGCGGACCCUCCCGGAGCCUCCUUUGCGUAGUAACUUUACGUCUCGCACUGGGAUCCGGAGGGACUCUUGCCGUAAAACCCCCCAAUUUUCCAAAGGUUGACCUCGGAUCANGUAGGAAUACCCGCUGAACAUAAGCAUAUCAAUA
Molecule: ribosomal RNA, 564 nt
Filed under: Colletotrichum gloeosporioides
Lineage: Eukaryota; Fungi; Ascomycota; Sordariomycetes; Glomerellales; Glomerellaceae
Description: eukaryotic LSU rRNA
Rfam family: 5.8S ribosomal RNA (bases 201-354)
Source: RNAcentral